Molecule: ribosomal RNA, 330 nt
Filed under: uncultured bacterium
Lineage: Bacteria
Description: bacterial SSU rRNA
Rfam family: Bacterial small subunit ribosomal RNA
Source: RNAcentral
UCCGUAGGCGGUGCGGCAAGUCGGAAGUGAAAUCUCUGGGCUUAACUCAGAGGCUGCUUCCGAAACUGCCGUGCUCGAGUGUGAGAGAGGCGAGUGGAAUUACGGGUGUAGCGGUGAAAUGCGUAGAUAUCCGUAGGAACAUCCGAGGCGAAAGCGGCUCGCUGGAUCACAACUGACGCUGAGGGACGAAAGCUAGGGGAGCAAACAGGAUUAGAUACCCCGGUAGUCCUAGCCCUAAACCAUCAGGACUUGGGGUUUGCCCUGUACGGGGCAAGUCCCGGAGCUAACGCGUUAAGUCCUGCGCCUGGGGAGUACGGUCGCAAGGCUGAA